This 2786-nucleotide small RNA is filed under the name Pongo abelii (Sumatran orangutan). Its description in RNAcentral is "retained intron". Lineage: Eukaryota; Metazoa; Chordata; Mammalia; Primates; Hominidae. The record is from RNAcentral.
CACUUCUUAAAGCGCCUGGGCCACCUCUUGGCUGUGUGACCUUGAGAGAGUCUUAACCCCCCUCUGAGCCAAGUUUUCCCUUGUGUCAAGUGGGAGAACUCACUCUCAUCUCAGAAUUGCUGCGGGCGUUAAAUGUACAGGGCUUGGGAUCCAAAUGGAAACGAUGUAUUAACGAUAUUUUGAGGGUGGAGCUAUUAAUUUAGCCCCUACUGUCUGCCAGGCACGGUGUUUGGCUCCUCGGUGCCUCUCUGUCCCUCAGUUUCCAUUUCUGUAAAAUGGGGGUAAGUCCUGCCUCACACUGGGAGGAUGAGUGAGGCCACGUCAGUGGUUGAUGUCGACCCUGGCCCUAGGCCCAUUGAUAUGACUGGUCAUGUGUCUGCAGAACGGAGCCCCCCACCUGAUGGGCAGCGGGGCAGUCAGCUCCUGGCACGGCAGCUGCAGGAUUUCUGGAAGAAGUCCCGGAACACCUUGGCACCCCAGCGGCUGCUCUUCGAAGUGACCAGCGCUAACGUUGUCAAGGACCCGCCCUCCAAGUACGUGACAAACCUCAGCUCUACACCCUCGCCGUGAUAGGCCCAGGGCCGCCAGAUUGCCAGCCAGCCCAGAUCUCUCGCCGUUACUCGGACUUUGAGCGGCUGCACCGAAACCUGCAGCGGCAAUUCCGGGGCCCAAUGGCUGCCAUCUCCUUCCCCCGUAAGCGGCUGCGCCGGAAUUUUACUGCAGAGACCAUUGCCCGCCGUAGCCGGGCCUUUGAGCAGUUUUUGGGUCACCUGCAGGCAGUGCCUGAGCUGCGCCAUGCCCCGGACCUGCAGGACUUCUUCGUGCUGCCGGAGCUGCGGCAGGCACAGAGCCUCACCUGUACUGGCCUCUAUCGUGAGGCUCUGGCACUCUGGGCCAAUGCCUGGCAGCUGCAAGCCCAGCUGGGCACCCCCUCUGGCCCAGACCGCCCCCUGCUGACCCUGGCUGGGCUGGCCGUGUGCCACCAGGAGCUGGAAGACCCUGGGGAGGCCCGGGCAUGCUGUGAGAAGGCCCUGCAGCUGCUUGGGGACAAGAGCCUCCACCCUUUGCUGGCACCCUUUCUGGAGGCCCAUGUCCGGCUCUCCUGGCGCCUGGGCCUGGACAAACGUCAAUCAGAGGCUCGGCUCCAAGCCCUGCAGGAGGCAGGCCUUACCCCGACACCACCCCCCAGUCUCAAAGAAUUGCUCAUCAAGGAGGUGCUGGACUAACCCUUGCCUAGAUUUAAGGCCACUGUGAGGAGAGGGGCUGCCCCAGAAUGCAGGGGAAGGACCUGAUGAGGACAGAAUAGCUGGGAGGCUGCAGAGGGUGCUGGGAGCCCCUAGAAGUUCCAAAAGAGAAUAUGAAGCAGAUCAAGGAAACUUCUGUUGAGCUGGGCUCAGGAUGAGCUUUGGCUGGGGUUGCCUUUGUGUAGUACAGGGAAGUCUGACACAGCCUCUCCAGCUUAUAAACAGCCGGGGGGCUGUGGCACAGGUUGGGGCAAUGUUCCCUUGUUGGUGGGCCCCCAAGCUGGCAAGGCCUCUUGGCUGAAGGCCAGGGACUCUGCCCUGGAGUCCUGGAGUUAAGGGAUGAAGGCAAGGCUGCAGGUCUGGCCCAGGGGAAUUAAAAGCCAGCCACUCCAGUGGUAUCAGUCUCUUUAUUGGAUGUGAGGGCCAAAAGGGACUGUAACUCCUGUCUCAGGAAUGGGGAUAGAUGGGAGGUUCUUGAAGCCCCAGGCGAAGCUGGUACCUCUGGCUACAGCUUGCUCUCUGAGACCCGGGGCUUCACUCGGAUCACGCCCUCCUGGGCACAGGUCACAGCUAGGACUCCAUCCUGACGCCACAGCCGCCCAUGGACUAGCCCCCGAGAGCCACCUGUGGGUGAGGUGAAGGGUGAUGAUGGCCUGCUUCAGAACAGCCAAAUACACUUUUUUUUUUUUCCUGAAACAGAGUCUCACUAUGUUGCCCAGGCUGGUCUCAAGCUCCUGGGUUCAAGGGAUCCUCCCGCCUCAGCCUCCUGAGCAUCUGGGAUUACAGGUGCACAUCACCACGCCCAACCUCCAAGUGGACUUCUUGCAAAGGGUCUGGCCCAGGGCAGGGCUGCCCCACACAAGGGUGCACUGAGUGUCGUGGCUGCUCCAAAUGCCCCUUCAUGAGCUUAUUAUGGACCGUCAUUGAGGGGUAACUCCUCCCACAGGAACUCCACUUGACAGUUUAAAAGCACUUUCACACCUCUGCUCGCUUCCUCAAAAAGAUCACGGAGGAGCUCUGAGAACAGUUUCCUUCAACAGCUCGGCCAAGCAGAACUGCUGUACCUCUGGCCACUUGUGUUAGGAAAACUAUUGGCUCCCUGUAUAAUAAAUCAAGCCAGGUCCUCCAAGUGGUAAUUCAUGAAAAAUAUCCCCACUACCACCACCAAGGGGAAGAAGGGACUCAGCAGAGAGGACUUGAGGCCAUGAGGUCUGGCCUCUUCCCUCCCCACCUGGAGACUCCUCCCUUGCUGGCUUUGGGCCCAAGUUUGAUGUUUGUGAGGAUGAUUGCUGGUUUCCCUUACACAUAGCAGAGCUCACUCAGUUCUCACAGUGGCCAAAUGAAGCAGUUAUGUGUUGUCCAGUUUUCCAGACCAGGACUGAAAUCCAUAGAGGGUCAGGAAUUUGGCCCCAUGAUGAGGCCAAAUCUGAACCCAUGUCCUCACUUCAAGGUUAUCAAUCUUGGAUUGUGAUGCUGUUGGUACUUGAGAAUACCCCUUAUCUGAGUAUAAAGAGUCCUUAAGUUUUGUCCUUCGUUUAUCAA